Molecule: long non-coding RNA, 1626 nt
Organism: Lacerta agilis (Sand lizard)
Lineage: Eukaryota; Metazoa; Chordata; Lepidosauria; Squamata; Lacertidae
Exons: 2
Source: RefSeq, a predicted model, not a curated record
CUCUCCCUUCAACCUGACCUAUUUGUGUAUGAGCCUGGUAUUGUGCUAUUCUGUGCAGUAGCAACAGGCUGUAGGCUUCAGCCCCAGGCUCCUUGUAAUAGUGUGCAGGCAAGGAAACUUUGUACCUGUGUUCCAGUAAUGGAAAUUUGUGCCACCUUUGUGUUGAAAUAGCAGUACAUUUGGUACAGUUGGGCUGGUGCUGUUGAAACCACUACACAGCGUAUGGCAAUUGUGCAUGGCACUUGAGGAAGUAGCGGACGGCAGAGGUAGGAGUUAUUUGUGGCAAAUAAGUGGUGUAUCAUAAGGACUAUGGGAUCAUUUCUGCCCAUUAACACUGACAUGCUUCCCCUGAAACGUGUUGAAGGGGAAGUGGAGUGUUUUUUGGGGGAAGGAUAUUUUGCUUUAAUUUUUGUAGGUGCAUAGAGCCAGUCGGAGUACCAACCACCCUUGUGUGGCAUGGAAGUAAAAAAGACUUGAGGAGGAGCCAAGUCUGGCUUAGUGUGUUUUCUGUACCUGGGGUCAUGGUUUAGCUCUCUGCCCAACUAGCCACAAUCUGUAAACCUAGAACAAACCUUGGAUAGAGCUCGUGAUUAGUGAGGAGAACGCUUUACUACAAGCUUGAGUUCAGAUGUUGCAGUAAGUCAAACCUUGGCCUAACUUGGUGCAGCUUGAGAGUAAAAGAGACUGGGGAGGAGAAAAGCAGUUAUGAGGUCCUGAUAAGCCAUACUUUGGCUUACUAUGACAUGCAAAUCAGGCUGCUGUGUGCAUAAUGUGGCAUAUGGCAUGGGGGGGGGGGAGAGAAGUCCAGAAUGUGGUUUCCCAUAGUGAUUCCUUGUUUUCCAAUAAAACACUGGAAAAAUCAAACCCUUCUCUUUCCCUCGCCUCAACUUAACUGAAUGAAGAGUGCAUGGUAGCAACUGCUUUUCAUUUCUGCCCAUAUAUGGAUUCUGGUGCAAGUUCAAAAUGUAAACUCUGAAAAUGCAGUGCCUUUACUGCACGUGAGGCAGAAUGUUUAAUUUACAGGAUUGGAAGGGGCCUUUCUUUUGAGAGAGAGAGCCAGAGGGGAAAAUGCUGUAUUCAUGCUCUGAACAAAAUGCAAAUACCGGUAGUACUUUUUGGAUCCAGGUGCAUUGAAUUGUAUGUUAACCUUUCUCCCAACUUACGGUACGUGCAGACUGAUCAUUUAAAAGAAAGCUAUUGUUAAUCAGAAUUUGCAUUUGGGCAAAGUUGUAAAAACUAUAUAAAACAUCUAUUCUGAAAAAAAGCAAGUUAUAAGUUUGACUGGAGAAUAUUUACUUUGACUUGCAGCACUAAUUAUAUUUGAUCCAUUGAUGUCCAGCCGUUAGGAAACAUUAGCACUAUACAAAUAAUAAGGAAAUACAAUGAUCACAGUUAUUCACUGCCUACAAAGAAAUACUGCCAAAGCUAUUAAUUACAUAUGAUUUUUAUUGGUAGGCAAUCAUUUCUUAAGCCUACAUAUCUAAACCUUAAGGCACUUAGAAAAGCUUCUUGGUAUUUUCAACCCUAUCCAUUGGCUAUGAGCCCAGAAAGAUCUGACAAGUUGAUUCAUAACAUGUGUAGAAAAUGGUUUGUACUGCAAGUAAAUUAAACAUAUUAAUAACCAAA